This 109-nucleotide transfer RNA is filed under the name Irpex rosettiformis. Its description in RNAcentral is "tRNA-Pro". It matches the Rfam family "tRNA". From Rfam's summary of the family: Transfer RNA (tRNA) molecules are approximately 80 nucleotides in length. Their secondary structure includes four short double-helical elements and three loops (D, anti-codon, and T loops). The record is from RNAcentral. Lineage: Eukaryota; Fungi; Basidiomycota; Agaricomycetes; Polyporales; Irpicaceae.
GGCUCAAUGGUCUAGUAGUAUGAUUCCUGCUUCGGGUUUUGAACAUCCGCAUGGGAUCUUCCCAUGCUACAACUGCAGGAGGUCUCGGGUUCAAUUCCCGAUUGAGCCC